This 428-nucleotide ribosomal RNA is filed under the name Bacteroidota bacterium. Its description in RNAcentral is "Bacteroidetes bacterium partial 16S ribosomal RNA". It matches the Rfam family "Bacterial small subunit ribosomal RNA", at positions 355 to 776 of the family's 1533-position model. The record is from RNAcentral. Lineage: Bacteria; Pseudomonadati; Bacteroidota.
UAGGGAAUCUUCCGCAAUGGACGCAAGUCUGACGGAGCAACGCCGCGUGAGUGAAGAAGGAUUUCGGUUCGUAAAACUCUGUUGUUAGAGAAGAACAGCGCAUAGAGUAACUGUUAUGCGUGUGACGGUAUCUAACAAGAAAGCCACGGCUAACUACGUGCCAGCAGCCGCGGUAAUACGUAGGUCCCGAGCGUUGUCCGGAUUUAUUGGGCGUAAAGCGAGCGCAGGCGGUUAGAUAAGUCUGAAGUUAAAGGCAGUGGCUCAACCAUUGUAGGGUUUGGAAACUGUUUAACUUGAGUGCAGAAGGGGAGAGUGGAAUUCCAUGUGUAGCGGUGAAAUGCGUAGAUAUAUGGAGGAACACCGGUGGCGAAAGCGGCUCUCUGGUCUGUAACUGACGCUGAGGCUCGAAAGCGUGGGUAGCAAACAGG